GUCAGUGUCAAGGUUACGUUUAAAAUUCUUGUUCCGUUAACCGUCAGGAAAGAAAAGUGUGAUAAACUCUGAAAUAAAUAGCUUUAUCUUAACAUAUUAUCAUGGAGUCUUCAGGAACAAGAGCCCCACGCAAACGUGUGGCUAAUUUCACGGCGGACGAAAAAGCUUUGUUAGCACAAUUAGAUAAAAAGAGACCAAGCGUGGAAUCUAAAAUAACAGAUGGCAAGUCAGUCGCCAAGAAACAAGCAGCAUGGGAUAGUAUAACACAGGAGUUCAAUCAGGAAUCAAUCACCAGCUUCCAGACUACGGGCUGCUUUGUGAAAGUUUAAGAAAACCCUCGAGAGACCUCUAGCACAGCAGCCGUGCUUGCGACCACUAGACCAACAAGGCAGUCAAAUAAACUUUGUACUACAUAAUUGUUCAACAAUUAAAAAAGUAUUCGUCUUA
Helicoverpa armigera (cotton bollworm) is the source of this 447-nucleotide long non-coding RNA. RefSeq lists it as uncharacterized. The transcript is spliced from 2 exons. The record is from RefSeq and is a predicted model, not a curated record. NCBI's taxonomy places the organism in Eukaryota, Metazoa, Arthropoda, Insecta, Lepidoptera, Noctuidae.